UUCACCCGGGGAUCUUGUUAGAAUGCAGAUUCUGAUUCAGGAGGUCGGGGGACGGGGGGCACGGGGGACGGCUGGGAGUCUGCACUUCUAACAAGCUCCCAGGUGGUGCCCA
RNAcentral lists this microRNA precursor (112 nucleotides) under Equus caballus (horse). RNAcentral's name for it is "mir-544 microRNA precursor family". It matches the Rfam family "mir-544 microRNA precursor family". Lineage: Eukaryota; Metazoa; Chordata; Mammalia; Perissodactyla; Equidae. The record is from Rfam by way of RNAcentral.